Non-coding RNA from Acanthosepion pharaonis, 92 nucleotides. The record is from the annotation of a GenBank genome assembly. Lineage: Eukaryota; Metazoa; Mollusca; Cephalopoda; Sepiida; Sepiidae.
GGUUUACACUGGUUCUUAUACAAUCACCAAAGUUAAGCAACAUUAAGCCUGGUUAGUACCUAGAUGGGUGACCACUUGGGAAUACCAGGAAG